GAUUCGACAUUCUACGCGUCAUAUUCCCGCACAGGCACGACGGCACCGUUCGUCUUCAUCUCAACCUUUCCGGAAAAUACGAAAUUCAGUAGAAAUCAAAAGGGUAAAGUUCUUCACCGCCAGAUUCUUCACUUGAUUAAUUUUCCUUUACAAAACCCGCAUUUCCUUCUCACUCUUUUUGGCUUUUAAACCAAAUCGUCCGAGUCGACUGGCUCGUCGUCCUCCCCAAGAUUCCCGACUUCGAGUCGACUCGUUCACUGUCACCAACCUCAACGUCUCCUCCUCCCGCCAGUCCCUCACCGGCACCUGGUUCGUCUUCAACCCCAACAAGUGACCAUCGAGUACGACGAGAUCGGCUCCUCCGUCUUCUACCGCUCCGGCUUCAUUUCCGAGGCCCGAAUCCCAUCGUUCCGGCAGGGGAAGAGAGUCCUUAGCGCCGUGAACGUGACUUUCUUGGCGGCGAAUUCGUUCGUCGACGACAGGGUGGCGAGUGGGAUCAACGCGGACAGGGCGGCGCGUGGGGCGGUGAGUUUCAAUAUCAAGCUGCUGGCUAGAGUUCAGUUUAGGAAAGGCGGGUGGAGGCUGAGGCGGCGGCUGCUGAGGGUGUUGUGCCGUGACGUGCCGAUUACGGUUUCGAAUAAUAGGACCGGAACGAUGACCGGCGGAGGCAGAGAUUGCGGCG
Molecule: long non-coding RNA, 682 nt
Filed under: Rosa chinensis
Lineage: Eukaryota; Viridiplantae; Streptophyta; Magnoliopsida; Rosales; Rosaceae
Description: sRNA RchiOBHm_Chr1g0334261
Source: RNAcentral